UAUGCUCGAGAUUGAAAAUAUUUUUACACAUUAAUUGUAUAUUAAUGUAUAUAACCUUUUUCGGGAAAUUAUUAGUUCGCAUUCGUUCGCGUUCGAUGCGUGUUUCGACCUGUCGAGCAUAUCCCCUCUCUCAAUAAUUCGAUAAUCGAAAUUGUAGCGCGAGCUGUUAUUGUACUAUCGAUAGUUGUAGAGUGUAGACGCGUUAUUUCUUGAGGUGUGUGAUUUAUCUGUUGCGUAGUUUUUUACUUCUAUAAUUAUAUUUUGUUAUUAUAUACGUUAAUAUUCAAUUACGUGUUUAAUAUUUGUGCGUCAAUUAGUGUUUUUUAUUAUAAUUGAAAAUUCUUUGGCGAUUAAAUUAUUCUAUUUUUUUCGUUCAUCGAUCUUUUAGAGUUACAGGUUAGUAUUACAUAUCUUAUAUUAUGACUUUUUAAAAUAGAAUUGUGUGCUUGAUUAUUAUUUUGUACUAUUAUAAUUGAUUAAUUCAGUAUAUUUUAUACAUUUAUUUGAAAAUUUUGAUUUCUUUGUGCAGAUUAUUAGUUGACAGUUGAAGUGAUAAAAUGAUGAAAAGGCGGGAAAAAUUUCAAUAUGGACGCCAUAAGGAUCAAUGACUUGAACAAAUGAGUCAGUGAUUCAAGAAUCAUAAUAAGACAAUAAGACAAUAAUAUAAUCAUUCAUCAUGAAAAAGAUAUUUUUCUACUUGAAUAAUAACUUUCUGAUGGACCAUGCAGAAUUUUGAUGGCAAUGUUCUUCGCAUCUAAUGGUGAGUCGCAUGCUUUUUUAUUCCUCUGGUCAUUCAAUCAUGUCGUAGGACGAAAGGUUCGAAUCGACACGGAUGACUGGUUGUAUACGUAGAUUUUUUUUUACGAGUACAGUGAUGGCAGGUAUUCUUUAUAUCUGCGAAUAAUAACAUUUCAUAUUUUGUUUUUAGAUCAGGUUAGGUCUUCUUGCAUAUCGCGUUUUUUA
Molecule: long non-coding RNA, 963 nt
Organism: Apis florea (little honeybee)
Lineage: Eukaryota; Metazoa; Arthropoda; Insecta; Hymenoptera; Apidae
Source: RefSeq, a predicted model, not a curated record